This 1034-nucleotide long non-coding RNA is filed under the name Equus caballus (horse). Its description in RNAcentral is "lncRNA (ENSECAG00000050205.1)". The record is from RNAcentral. Lineage: Eukaryota; Metazoa; Chordata; Mammalia; Perissodactyla; Equidae.
AUGGUCAGGAUAGGAAAGACGGUGGGGCCUUCAUCUGGGCCUCUUCCUUGGCUCUGGGGACUGGAGCCCCCUCACCCUUGGAUCUCAGCUGGCAUGUCGGCUCUCUGAGUUACAAAAAGGGGGGAGUGAAAUGAGGACACUACAGAUACAGAGGAUGGCAUCCACAAAGGCUCCUCUGCCACCUUUGUCACCUGCUCAAUGGCUCAGCUCCCCGCUGUGGGACAGCUCGCCUCCCGAAGUGUGCAUCUCUCUGCUCCUGACAGGCCUGAAGCUGCCAGUGUCACCACACACACACGGAGGACAGGUGGCAGGACACAUGUAUGGCCUGAUCAGCAGGUUCCAGCUCCACCCUGCCCUUCAGGCUGACAGACCAGCUCCUCUAAGGUCAGAGCCCAGCAUGCUCAGCUGAGCAGAACAUACGGUCCCUCCUUGGGAGCCUUUGAUAUUCUGGGCUGCAGCUGACUGAAAAGGACCAAAUUAUGACACCUGAUUCUUCAGGUCAGACACACCAAAUGGGGAGACCCAACUGAGACUUCCAGAGGCCUCGAGCAUGAAAAAAGAUUAUGAUUUCUUCCCUGCCAAUAUUUCAAAAUAAUAUACUAACAUGUGACAUAAGUAGACACUAUUUUGGGGCCAUCAACUAUCUGAUGCCAGAGAGCUUCCUUUGCCAUCCAGUUCCACUCCCCACUGCUCUGGGACCUGGGAAGGGAAAUGAACACACUGUUUCAACAAGUUCUCUUGUUCUUGGCUUCUGGUUGGGUUUAGCAAAUGGCAAACAGAGCAGGAGAUGAGAGGGAGGGAGGGAGGAAGGUAGAGUCCUGGGCUGGCUGUGGGUCUCUACCCCCUGCCCUCCCCACCCAGCCCUCUGUGUCUCCAAGUUCACGUUACCUUUCCAGGACCUAGGCCCCUCAGGCCAGGGAGGAAGCGGGGUUGCAGGGCCCUCUGUUAGUAGCCCAAGGACCCUGGACUAUCUUUUGUGGUUUCCCAGCACCUUUGUAACUAGUUCCCUUAUUAAACUCAACUUUGCUCAAUUC